Molecule: ribosomal RNA, 539 nt
Filed under: uncultured Planctomycetaceae bacterium
Lineage: Bacteria; Pseudomonadati; Planctomycetota; Planctomycetia; Planctomycetales; Planctomycetaceae
Description: bacterial SSU rRNA
Rfam family: Bacterial small subunit ribosomal RNA
Source: RNAcentral
UAAGACGAACCGUCCAAACGUUAUUCGGUAUCACUGGGCUUAAAGCGUGCGUAGGCGGCCUGGUAGGUGAGAUGUGAAAGCCCACGGCUCAACCGUGGAAUUGCGUUUCAAACCGUCAGGCUUGAAGGAAGACAGGGGUGUCGGGGAACUUAUGGUGGAGCCGGUGAAAUGCGUUUGAUAUCAUAGGGAACACCCGGUGGCGAAGGCGCGACACUGGGUCUUUACUGACGCGUGAGGCACGAAAGCUAGGGUAGCGAACGGGAUUAGAUACCCCGGUAGUCCUAGCCGUAAACGAUGAACACUGGGUUCAGGGGACUUCCACAUCCUCUCGGCCGUAGCGAAAGCGUUAAGUGUUCCGCCUGGGGAGUAUGGUCGCAAGGCUGAAACUCAAACGGAAUUGACGGGGGCCCCGCACAAGCGGUGGAGUAUGUGGUUUAAUUCGAUGCAACGCGAAGAACCUUACCAGGGUUUGACAUCCUGCGAACCUCUUGGAAACGAGAGGGUGCCUUCGGGAGCGCAGUGACAGGUGGUGCAUGGCU